UAAUCCUCAACCCUCGGGUUGGACUUGGACGUUGCGGUGCCUCGUCUCCGCUCAUCUCAAACUCAUUAGGGCUAUUUGAUCCGCCUGUCAGCGUUUAGUAACGCUUGCACCGCGCCAAGGUUCGAUGCCCUCUACGCCGCCUCUCGAAGGCGCGCUUGAAU
RNAcentral lists this unclassified non-coding RNA (161 nucleotides) under uncultured Basidiomycota. Its description in RNAcentral is "sequence contains ITS2". The record is from RNAcentral. Lineage: Eukaryota; Fungi; Basidiomycota.